GGCUUUGCAAUGGUGCCAGUCUACUGCUGCUUUUCUGACUCUGGCUUUCUGGUCUGGUCUCUGUUGUGCUGGUGGUGAGCCCACAGCUGCCCAUCUGCCCUCUCCCCUCUGCCCCAGGUGAUUGUGCUACACUGGCCAGGUCCCCGUCCCACCGCCCGCCCGCCUGUGUUUCUGUGCUGCACCUAGAGCAGAAGACUUCAGGACAACGAGGGGUAUGGAUCUGAGAACGAGGUUUUUCUGCGGGAAGUGCUGGACUGAGGAAGGAAUAAGGAAUGAGAAGAAAGCAGUUAAAUCCUGGACUGACAGGAUCAGAGUGAAAGAGACAAGCCAAGCAAGGAAACAACAUCAGUUCUCUUCAGGAGUGGAGCUAGUGACAAUACCAGGGGCACAAAGAUGCUGGAGCUGCUUCCUUAUGCUGGAGCCAAACGGGAAGGGGAACUUGCCUCAGAUGCGACUCCUGCAGCAGACCAAGAGUCUUUUGGGCCAGAAGUUGUUAAAGCAAAUUCCAGUCACAGAUGAUGACAAGAUAACCUUCCAGACUUACUGUAAUGCUGUGUCUUGGCUAUCUAGAAGCAGCUUCGAGAUGAAAUUAAAAGGACUGUGCCAAACCGUAAUCUCAGGUGUUCUCCACAAGGAGCAGAUCCAGGGCCUGCUGAGUGACUUGUACCCUCUGGAAAAUAGCAGUGCCAUUACUGAGCUUUCUUUUUGCUUUCUGAAAGAAGUGGAUAAAAGCAAUCAAGGUUUCAUCUCUGAAGAUAUGUUUAUGGCCUGGGUGCAACACCUUCCACGAGAUAUAGUGGAAUCUAUUCUGAAGUUCCCAAUAAUACCUCCAAGUCUAAGUGACUCUAAGGUUCCUGUUUCUUAUAUGAAUAUUGCUGAGGAUGAUCAAGACAAGCAGGGGCUGGAUGAUAGGCAGGUUUUUAGAGUGGCUACAGAGUUAUCCAGAAGAAAGAGAAACUGGAAGCUUCUUGCUAGCAAGCUUGGCAUUUUGGAGAAGAACUGCUCCCAUCUGGAACAUCAGAAUUUGGAAAUGAAGAACCAACACUCAAGGUGGCAUGCACAGAGUUUCCAGGCAAUCUCCCAUCCAGGCACUGACCACCUAGAACUGCUUAGCUUCAGCAAGAUCCUGAACAUGCUACAGAUGUGGCACAGAGCAUGCCAAGAAGCUCCACUUCCCACCCUGCAAGCCGCCUUGAGAGAAAGUGGCAAUGCAGAUAUUUGUCACGAAGUAUUCCACUUGAGCUUUUAAGGGACUUUUGCUAAGAAAAUAUCAUUGUUUUGGAAAGUGCCUGUAAGGCUAAGAUUGCAUAUUUCAAGGAUCGGGUCAGGAGCAGUUGCAAGAGUUUCUCCAGGAUGGCAGCAGCAAGACAGCAGUGAGCUGAUCUCCUAAAGCAAUUGUUCUUGGGAAGGGCCAUCUUGGACAAGAUGUCUCCACCCUAAAGCAACAGCUCUUGGAGCCCUGUCUGCAAUGAGUAUGUGUGGCAGCAUCUUGGAAUUACUCUGGCGGUGAGGGCAGCAGAGACUGAGUAGGGCUGAAGCAGUUAAGGCCAGCUCUGCAAGGAUACCAUUUGAAAGAGCGAAAAAGACUCCUCCAUCCCCACAAAUCCUCUAUUUAUUUAUUGACCACCUUUGUCAUUGCACUUUUACAAUGCAAUGUGAAGCCGCGGGGGGAAGGGAUUGCCUGUGUGUUUGUGCUACGUGGUCACCACCUGCAGAAUAGGACUGAUCAGACAUCUUAAAGCCUACCUCAAAAGGAACAGUGAUGACCAAAAUGCAGGCAAGCACAAGAAGAGUCUUCAUUCUGUCUGAUAACUCUGUAAGAAUAAAGAAUAACAGCAAUCUCAUGUAGUCACAGUUGAACAUUUACAUUAAUCAAAAUGGAAUUUAUUUAUGCACAUGUCCAUGCUUAUAUUCAUACAGGGAGGAAGGGAGGAAGAGAGAAAAAGGGAGUGGGGGCAUCAGUAUUCUUCUCCAGCGUAGAUGGAAAAAUUAUUGGUUGCAUAUGUUAUCACAUAUCUUGAAAAUCUUGAUCUGGUUCAGAACAUAUCAAUCAUAUAGAGCUGAACAUAGUAAUAGAAAAAUCAUACUAAAUAUAAACUAGAGUGGCAAGUAAAUAGAUUUUGAUGGGAGAGUUUAUUAGGCCUGUACAUGGCCAAAAAUAUUGUAUCAGAUCCAACAGUUCUGAUAGGUAUCGGUAUUGAGUCUUUUGACUGUU
Hemicordylus capensis (graceful crag lizard) is the source of this 2215-nucleotide RNA transcript. RefSeq lists it as uncharacterized. The record is from RefSeq and is a predicted model, not a curated record. NCBI's taxonomy places the organism in Eukaryota, Metazoa, Chordata, Lepidosauria, Squamata, Cordylidae. The transcript is spliced from 13 exons.